RNAcentral lists this long non-coding RNA (822 nucleotides) under Mytilus galloprovincialis (Mediterranean mussel). Lineage: Eukaryota; Metazoa; Mollusca; Bivalvia; Mytilida; Mytilidae. The record is from RNAcentral.
CUUGGUUUUUAUACGACCGCAAAAAUUUUAAUUUUUCGUCGUAUAUUGCUAUCACGUUGGCGUCGUCGUCGUCCUGCGUCGUCGUCUUGCGUCGUCGUCUUGCGUCGUCCGAAUACUUUUAGUUUUCGCACUCUAACUUUAGUAAAAGUGAAUAGAAAUCUAUGAAAUUUUAACACAAGGUUUAUAACCACAAAAGGAAGGUUGGGAUUGAUUUUGGGAGUUUUGGUCCUAACAUUUUAGGAAUUAGGGGCCAAAAAGGGCCCAAAUAAGCAUUUUCUUGGUUUUCGCACUAUAACUUUAGUUUAAGUGAAUAGAAAUCUAUGAAAUUUAAACACAAGGUUUAUGACCACAAAAGGAAGGUUGGGAUUGAUUUUGGGAGUUGAGGUCUGAACAGUUUAGGAAUUAGGGGCCAAAAAGGGGCCAAAUAAGCAUUAUUCUUGGUUUUCGCGCAAUAAUUUUAGUAUAAGUAAAUAGAAAUCAAUGAAAUUUAAACACAAGGUUUAUGACCACAAAGGAAGGUUGGGAUUGAUUUUGGGAGUUGAGGUCUGAACAGUUUAGGAAUUAGGGGCCAAAAAGGGCCCAAGUAAGCAUUAUUCUUGGUUUUCGCACCAUAACUUUAGUAUAAGUAAAUAGAAAUCUUUGAAAUUUAAACACAAGGUUUAUGACCAUAAAAGGAAGGUUGGGUUUGAUUUUGGGAGUUUUGGUCCCAACAGGUUUUUAGGAAUAAGGGGCCCAAAGGGUCCAAAAUUGAACUUUGUUUGAUUUCAUCAAAAAUUGAAUAAUUGGGGUUCUUUGAUAUGCCGGAUCUAACUGUGUAUGUAG